This 215-nucleotide ribosomal RNA is filed under the name uncultured marine eukaryote. Its description in RNAcentral is "partial 18S ribosomal RNA". It matches the Rfam family "Eukaryotic small subunit ribosomal RNA", at positions 1240 to 1475 of the family's 1831-position model. The record is from RNAcentral.
UUGACAGAUUGAUAGCUCUUUCUUGAUUCUUGGGUGGUGGUGCAUGGCCGUUCUUAGUUGGUGGAGUGAUUUGUCUGGUUAAUUCCGUUAACGAACGAGACCGUCGCCUGCUAAAUAGUUCCGCGAAUGGUUUUUCAUUGGGGCUAGCUUCUUAAAGGGCCUUUCGUGUUUAACGAUGAGGGAUUAGGGGGGCAAUCACGUGUGUGAGACCCACA